GUGAGGAAUUUUGCGCAAUGGGGGCAACCCUGACGCAGCGACGCCGCGUGGAGGACGAAGUCUUUCGGGAUGUAAACUCCUGUCAGUGGGGACGAUAAUGACGGUACCCACAGAGGAAGCACCGGCUAACUCCGUGCCAGCAGCCGCGGUAAGACGGAGGGUGCAAGCGUUGUUCGGAAUUACUGGGCGUAAAGCGUAUGUAGGCGGCAAGUUAAGUUCAAUGUUAAAGCCCACGGCUCAACCGAGGAGAUGCAUUGAAUACUGGCUAGCUAGAGGGUGUUAGAGGAAGACGGAAUUCCCAGUGUAGCGGUGAAAUGCGUAGAUAUUGUGAGGAACAUCGGUAGCGAAAGCGGUCUUCUGGGACAUACCUGACGCUGAGGUACGAAAGCGUGGGGAGCAAACGGGAUUAGAUACCCUUGUAGUCC
RNAcentral lists this ribosomal RNA (425 nucleotides) under uncultured bacterium. RNAcentral's name for it is "partial 16S ribosomal RNA". It matches the Rfam family "Bacterial small subunit ribosomal RNA", at positions 354 to 796 of the family's 1533-position model. The record is from RNAcentral.